GCCCGGUUGGUGUAGCGGUAACACGAGCGAGAAAAGUGGCAGUAGGUCGCGUGAAGCAUUAAGUCCACCAAGAUAUAGCUAGUCCUCGGUUCGAAUCCGGGGCCGGGCA
Non-coding RNA from Coniochaeta ligniaria NRRL 30616, 109 nucleotides. The record is from the annotation of a GenBank genome assembly. NCBI's taxonomy places the organism in Eukaryota, Fungi, Ascomycota, Sordariomycetes, Coniochaetales, Coniochaetaceae.